GGGAAAGGGGGGGGGGGGGGGUGCGGUAAUGUGUAGGGUCGUGGCGUUGUGCGGAAUUGUUGGGCGUAAAGGGCUCGUAGGCGGUUUGUGGCGUCGGGAGUGAAAACUUCGGGCUUAAGUCGGAGCUUGCUUUCGAGACGUGCAGACUUGAGGCAGUCAGGGGAGAACGGAAUUCCUGGUGUAGCGGUGAAAUGCGCAGAUAUCAGGAGGAACACCGGUGGCGAAGGCGGUUCUCUGGGAAUGUUCUGACGCUGAGGAGCGAAAGUGUGGGGAGCGAACAGGAUUAGAUACCCUGUAGUC
RNAcentral lists this ribosomal RNA (300 nucleotides) under uncultured Halogeometricum sp. Its description in RNAcentral is "partial 16S ribosomal RNA". The stretch from base 53 to 300 matches the Rfam family "Bacterial small subunit ribosomal RNA", at positions 547 to 795 of the family's 1533-position model. The record is from RNAcentral. Lineage: Archaea; Methanobacteriati; Methanobacteriota; Halobacteria; Halobacteriales; Haloferacaceae.